CACAAAUCUAACCAGCAUGCAUUGCGCGCCGAUCGAUUCUGCUGGCACAUCGCGAACGAACCCAAUGAUGAUGAUUACAGACCUGAACUGAAUGACUUACUGCACUUCAGAUGAGCUCGAGACCUCCAGGAACCGCUCGCUGCAAAGGUGUGAGAAGAAUAUGGGGAACUCUAUACCAGGUGUUCAUGGCUGAUGAAAGAUGAUGAUGAUGAGGAAGAAUGAAGGACUGGUUGUUCUUCACUGUCGACUCCCUGGACUCUCCCUGAAUGGUUGGUGUUUUACCAUCGUCUGAGGAAGGACGUCACCUGGAAGCCAUCAUAGCCUUGGAUGAAAUUCACUGAGUCAUGAUAAUUCAUUGGCUGCUUUGACAUGAUGAUGAUUAUGGUGGUCUCGUUGAAGGUGCCUGGCUUUGGAAGAUGCUGCCAUCAUCAACCACGGUCUUUGUCCAGCCAUUAGGACGGAGCUGCCUGACGAGCAUCAAUCACUCUGAAUGCAAGAUGUCCACGUCAACGUCUACCUGGAACUGAGUAUGAAGACUUUGACUUGAGUGGUGCCGCCAAUUUACUCAUAACCUUUGGGAACUGCAGAGAUGCUCCAACCGCUGCAGAUGAGCUUGAGACCUCCGGGAACCCAUGACCUUUUGUUAAGUCUACGUCUGGCCUCUUGUCCUUCAGGUGUUCAUGGCUGAUCAAAGAUGAGGAGGAAGAAUGAAGAACUUUGGUUGUUCUGCACUGUAGACUCCCUAAACUCUUCAGAGAAUCUGUAGAGUGAACAAUGGUUGGUGUUUUACCAUCGUCUGAGGAAGGACGUCACCUGGAAGCCGUCAUAGCCUUGGAUGAAAUUCACUGAGUCAUGAUGAUUCAUUGGCUGCUUUGACAUGAUGAUGGUGGUCUUGUUGAAGGUGCCUGGCUUUGGAAGAUGCUGCCAUCAUCAACCACGGUCUUUGUCCAGGAUUGGUGCCGCUUGUCUUGUUUAUGAUCUCAUCAGAGUCCAGCUGGAUCUACUACUGCCAACUGCUUGGGGGCUUAUGUUUCCGGCCAGAACUUUGACUCCUUCAUAGGAGUCGGUCAUCUCGUGCUGCAGGAGAUGUGAUUUUGUUUGUGCGUUGGAAUUGGGGAAGAAAAUUCUAAUAAAAAAUUGCUUUAAAUAAAG
Long non-coding RNA from Cyclopterus lumpus (lumpfish), 1152 nucleotides. RefSeq lists it as uncharacterized. The transcript has 18 exons. The record is from RefSeq and is a predicted model, not a curated record. NCBI's taxonomy places the organism in Eukaryota, Metazoa, Chordata, Actinopteri, Perciformes, Cyclopteridae.